GUGUCCGGCAGGGGCAGCCCGGCCUCUCCUCCCAGAGCCCCCACAACCACCACUCCUGACCACUUAAAGUCUGCCCACAAUAUAAAGCUCAAUAAACAACUUGCAUUAUUUGUGAGAAACAGCACUUUGGUUUCAGGUUGAGAUUGUGCCCAGAUUGUCAUCUUAGGGCAUGAAGAUGGUUGCCAUCUCCUGUUUGUGGCUCAGGGAAAGAGAUGGAUUUACUGAAACAGACACCUGCUGUGGAAGUUAUUUAGCUCAUGUAAUUCCUAUUCUUCUCUUGAAUCCAUAACAGAGGCAUCAUUAACUGCAAGGCGUCUUCUGGUCACUUCCCUCUGCUGUAGUGCUACUCAGAAGUUGUCCCAACACUGAUUGAUUCAGGAGUUCAAGAACCAGAUUUGUCACUCACAGAAGAGUAAUUACUUUUCAAAGAAAAGCUCUUUAAGGAGAAAAACCUUUUUGCUUGAAAACAGCUUAAAGGACAAGAUGGAACAGGUCUCUCAGUUUCCAAAUGGAACCAGGUCUGAAGGACAGCCAUGCUGGCCAUUCAAUAAUGAAGUUAGCCAGACAUGGCAACUUCAAAAGAUAAGAGAAUCCUGCUAGAUUUUUUGUGGAAGAUCUAUGUAAUCAGAUGAAACAGAAAAGUAAGGGAAAAAAAUCCCAGAUCUUAGAACUUGGUACCAAGAGUAUCAGGGAACUCUUUGGCAUUUUAAUUCACAUUCUAGAGUAGUGGGAUUUUCUGCAGCUGCAUAUAAAGCAGAUCUGAGGACUAAGAGG
Molecule: long non-coding RNA, 774 nt
Organism: Lepidothrix coronata (blue-crowned manakin)
Lineage: Eukaryota; Metazoa; Chordata; Aves; Passeriformes; Pipridae
Exons: 5
Source: RefSeq, a predicted model, not a curated record